RNAcentral lists this ribosomal RNA (497 nucleotides) under uncultured bacterium. RNAcentral's name for it is "partial 16S ribosomal RNA". It matches the Rfam family "Bacterial small subunit ribosomal RNA", at positions 28 to 507 of the family's 1533-position model. The record is from RNAcentral.
GAUGAACGCUGGCGGCGUGCCUAAUACAUGCAAGUCGAGCGAACGGACGAGAAGCUUGCUUCUCUGAUGUUAGCGGCGGACGGGUGAGUAACACGUGGAUAACCUACCUAUAAGACUGGGAUAACUUCGGGAAACCGGAGCUAAUACCGGAUAAUAUUUUGAACCGCAUGGUUCAAAAGUGAAAGACGGUCUUGCUGUCACUUAUAGAUGGAUCCGCGCUGCAUUAGCUAGUUGGUAAGGUAACGGCUUACCAAGGCAACGAUGCAUAGCCGACCUGAGAGGGUGAUCGGCCACACUGGAACUGAGACACGGUCCAGACUCCUACGGGAGGCAGCAGUAGGGAAUCUUCCGCAAUGGGCGAAAGCCUGACGGAGCAACGCCGCGUGAGUGAUGAUGGUCUUCGGAUCGUAAAACUCUGUUAUUAGGGAAGAACAUAUGUGUAAGUAACUGUGCACAUCUUGACGGUACCUAAUCAGAAAGCCACGGCUAACUACGUG